UUCCUACGGGAGGCAGCAGUGGGGAAUAUUGCACAAUGGGCGAAAGCCUGAUGCAGCAACGCCGCGUGAGCGAUGAAGGCCUUCGGGUCGUAAAGCUCUGUCCUCAAGGAAGAUAAUGACGGUACUUGAGGAGGAAGCCCCGGCUAACUACGUG
RNAcentral lists this ribosomal RNA (154 nucleotides) under uncultured bacterium. Its description in RNAcentral is "partial 16S ribosomal RNA". It matches the Rfam family "Bacterial small subunit ribosomal RNA", at positions 336 to 507 of the family's 1533-position model. The record is from RNAcentral.